GGGGAUUUAGCUCAGCGGUAGAGCGCUUGCCUAGCAAGCGCAAGGCCCUGGGUUCGGUCCCCAGCUCCG
Rattus norvegicus (Norway rat) is the source of this 69-nucleotide non-coding RNA. Lineage: Eukaryota; Metazoa; Chordata; Mammalia; Rodentia; Muridae. The record is from Rfam.